RNAcentral lists this ribosomal RNA (466 nucleotides) under uncultured bacterium. RNAcentral's name for it is "bacterial SSU rRNA". It matches the Rfam family "Bacterial small subunit ribosomal RNA", at positions 917 to 1382 of the family's 1533-position model. The record is from RNAcentral.
GGACCCGCACAAGCGGUGGAGCAUGUGGUUUAAUUCGAUGCAACGCGAAGAACCUUACCUGGUCUUGACAUCCUCGGAACCCUGCAGAGAUGCGGGGGUGCCUUCGGGAGCCGAGAGACAGGUGCUGCAUGGCUGUCGUCAGCUCGUGUCGUGAGAUGUUGGGUUAAGUCCCGCAACGAGCGCAACCCUUGUCCCUAGUUGCCAGCACUUCGGGUGGGAACUCUAGGGAGACCGCCGGUGACAAACCGGAGGAAGGUGGGGAUGACGUCAAGUCAUCAUGGCCCUCAUGACCAGGGCUACACACGUGCUACAAUGGCCGGUACAAAGGGCUGCCAACCCGCGAGGGGGAGCCAAUCCCAGAAAGCCGGUCGUAGUCCGGAUCGGAGUCUGCAACUCGACUCCGUGAAGUCGGAAUCGCUAGUAAUCGCGAAUCAGCAACGUCGCGGUGAAUACGUUCCCGGGUCUU